RNAcentral lists this ribosomal RNA (506 nucleotides) under uncultured bacterium. Its description in RNAcentral is "partial 16S ribosomal RNA". It matches the Rfam family "Bacterial small subunit ribosomal RNA", at positions 29 to 523 of the family's 1533-position model. The record is from RNAcentral.
AGUGAACGCUGGCGGUAGGCCUAACACAUGCAAGUCGAACGGCAGCACAGGAGAGCUUGCUCUCUGGGUGGCGAGUGGCGGACGGGUGAGGAAUACAUCGGAAUCUACUCUGUCGUGGGGGAUAACGUAGGGAAACUUACGCUAAUACCGCAUACGACCUACGGGUGAAAGCAGGGGACCUUCGGGCCUUGCGCGAUUGAAUGAGCCGAUGUCGGAUUAGCUAGUUGGCGGGGUAAAGGCCCACCAAGGCGACGAUCCGUAGCUGGUCUGGGAGGAUGAGCAGCCACGCUGGAACUGAGACACGGUCCAGACUCCUACGGGGGGCAGCGGUGGGGAAUAUUGGACAAUGGGCGCAAACCUGAUCCAGCCAUACCGCGUGGGUGAAGGAGGCCUUCGGGUUGUAAAGCCCUUUUGUUGGGAAAGAAAUCCAGCUGGCUAAUACCCGGUUGGGAUGACGGUACCCAAAGAAUAAGCACCGGCUAACUUCGUGCCAGCAGCCGCCGCCG